Molecule: ribosomal RNA, 1341 nt
Filed under: Triticum aestivum (bread wheat)
Lineage: Eukaryota; Viridiplantae; Streptophyta; Magnoliopsida; Poales; Poaceae
Description: partial small subunit ribosomal RNA
Source: RNAcentral
AUGGCUGCGCAAUCUUGGAACCCUUUCUCUUGCUGCGUCCGCGGGGCAGCCGUGGACGGCGACGACCACUGCGAGUCGCGGAGGGGGAAUAAGGGCAGCCCGAGGUCGCCGCUGAAGAACCUGAGCUCGUCGGGGACGCUGUCACCGGAGGAGCUGUCGCUGACGCUGUCCGGCUCGAACCUGCACGCCUUCACCUACGCCGAGCUCCGAGCGGCGACGGCGAGCUUCUCGCGCGCCAACUACCUCGGCUGCGGCGGCUUCGGCCCGGUCUACAAGGGGGCCGUCGACGACAAGCUCCGCCCCGGGCUGGCCGCGCAGCCCGUCGCCGUCAAGUACCUCGACCUGGAGUGCGGCACGCAGGGACACCAAGAGUGGCUGGCAGAGGUUUUCUUCCUUGGGCAACUGAGGCACAAGAACCUGGUGAAAUUGAUCGGGUACUGCUACGAGGACGAGCAUCGAAUGCUGGUGUACGAGUUCAUGAGCGCCGGGAGCUUGGAGAAGCACCUCUUCAAAAGUACCAAUGGUUCUCUCCCAUGGAUGACAAGGAUGAAGAUCGCCGUCGGCGCGGCAAAGGGCCUCGCCUUCCUCCAUGGUGCCGACCCGCCGGUGAUCUACCGCGACUUCAAAGCCUCCAACAUCUUGCUCGACUCGGACUACAACACUAAAUUGUCAGACUUUGGGCUGGCCAAGGAUGGGCCUCAAGGCGACGCAACACACGUGACAACACGUGUAAUGGGGACACACGGGUAUGCAGCGCCCGAGUAUAUCAUGACGGGCCACUUAACCGCCAAAAGCGACGUCUACAGCUUCGGUGUUGUGCUCCUGGAGCUACUCUCAGGACGACAAUCCGUGGACCGUGCACGACGACCAAGGGAACAAAACCUAGUGGACUGGGCUAGGCCCUAUCUCAAACGGUCGGACAAACUGCACCAGGUGAUCGACUCAGCCCUCGAGUGUCAGUACUCGUGCAAGGGUGCUGAAGUGGCUGCGCUGGUGACAUACAAGUGUUUGAGCCAAAACCCCAAGUCCCGACCAUCCAUGCGUGAGGUCGUCAAGGCAUUGGAGCCUGUACUCGACAUGGAUGACUUUUUUCCAGCGGGACCGUUCGUGCUCACCAUCGUUGUCGAGGAUGACAAGGUGAUGGACAUGAAGGUGGAGACUGAGGAGAAGCACCAAAGCCAUCACCAGAACCAUCAGGAUAGGCACCGACAUAAGUACCCCGAAUCAGCGAUCCACGGUGACAUUGUGAUCCAUGGAGACAACAGACAGGUUGCCGGGUUCACCGGUGCGUUGCGGCGACAACAGAGGACGUUGAGUUACCACCGGGAAAGAGGGGCUUAA